CCUACGGGUUGCACCAGUAGGGAAUCUUCCACAAUGGGCGCAAGCCUGAUGGAGCAACGCCGCGUGCGUGAAGAAGAUCUUCGGAUCGUAAAGCGCUGUUGUUAGAGAAGAACACGGAUAAGAGUAACUGUUUAUGCGUUGACGGUAUCUAACCAGAAAGUCACGGCUAACUACGUGCCAGCAGCCGCGGUAAUACGUGGGUGGCAAGCGUUGUCCGGAUUUAUUGGGCGUAAAGGGAACGCAGGCUGUUUUUUAAGUCCGAUGUGAAAGCCUUCGGCUUAACCGAAGAAGUGCAUCGGAAACUGGGAGACUUGAGUGCAGGAGAGGAGAGUGGAACUCCAUGUGUGGCGGUGAAAUGCGUAGAUAUAUGGAAGAACACCAGUGGCGAAAGCGGCUCUCUGGUCUGUAACUGACGCUGAGGUUCGAAAGCAUGGGUAGCGAACAGGAUUAGAUACCCAGUAGUC
RNAcentral lists this ribosomal RNA (464 nucleotides) under uncultured bacterium. RNAcentral describes it as "bacterial SSU rRNA". It matches the Rfam family "Bacterial small subunit ribosomal RNA", at positions 338 to 795 of the family's 1533-position model. The record is from RNAcentral.